RNAcentral lists this ribosomal RNA (342 nucleotides) under uncultured bacterium. Its description in RNAcentral is "bacterial SSU rRNA". It matches the Rfam family "Bacterial small subunit ribosomal RNA", at positions 8 to 334 of the family's 1533-position model. The record is from RNAcentral.
AGAGUUUGAUUAUGCUCAGGACGAACGCUGGCGGCGUGCUUAACACAUGCAAGUCGAACGUGAUUUUUAAGGAAAGCCCUUCGGGGUGGGAAUUAAAAUGAAAGUGGCGAACGGGUGAGUAACACGUGAGCAACCUACCUUACACAGGGGGAUAGCCGUUGGAAACGACGAUUAAUACCGCAUGAGACCACAGAAUCGCAUGAUAUAGGGGUCAAAGAUUUAUCGGUGUAAGAAGGGCUCGCGUCUGAUUAGCUAGUUGGAAGGGUAAAGGCCUACCAAGGCGACGAUCAGUAGCCGGUCUGAGAGGAUGAACGGCCAUAUUGGAACUGAGACACGGUCCAA